RNAcentral lists this unclassified non-coding RNA (571 nucleotides) under Aspergillus tabacinus. Its description in RNAcentral is "sequence contains ITS1, 5.8S rRNA gene, ITS2". The stretch from base 201 to 354 matches the Rfam family "5.8S ribosomal RNA". The record is from RNAcentral. Lineage: Eukaryota; Fungi; Ascomycota; Eurotiomycetes; Eurotiales; Aspergillaceae.
GUCGUAACAAGGUUUCCGUAGGUGAACCUGCGGAAGGAUCAUUACUGAGUGCGGGCUGCCUUCGGGCGCCCAACCUCCCACCCGUGACUACCUAACACUGUUGCUUCGGCGGGGAGCCCUCUCGGGGGCGAGCCGCCGGGGACUACUGAACUUCAUGCCUGAGAGUGAUGCAGUCUGAGUCUGAAUAUAAAAUCAGUCAAAACUUUCAACAAUGGAUCUCUUGGUUCCGGCAUCGAUGAAGAACGCAGCGAACUGCGAUAAGUAAUGUGAAUUGCAGAAUUCAGUGAAUCAUCGAGUCUUUGAACGCACAUUGCGCCCCCUGGCAUUCCGGGGGGCAUGCCUGUCCGAGCGUCAUUGCUGCCCAUCAAGCCCGGCUUGUGUGUUGGGUCGUCGUCCCCCCCGGGGGACGGGCCCGAAAGGCAGCGGCGGCACCGUGUCCGGUCCUCGAGCGUAUGGGGCUUUGUCACCCGCUCGAUUUAGGGCCGGCCGGGCGCCAGCCGACGUCCAACCAUUUUUCUUCAGGUUGACCUCGGAUCAGGUAGGGAUACCCGCUGAACUUAAGCAUAUCAAU